GCAGUGGUGGUUCAGUGGUAGAAUUUUUGCCUUCUGUGUGGGAGACCCAGCUUUGAAUUCUUGCCAAUGCA
RNAcentral lists this transfer RNA (71 nucleotides) under Loxodonta africana (African savanna elephant). It matches the Rfam family "tRNA". Rfam says of the family: Transfer RNA (tRNA) molecules are approximately 80 nucleotides in length. Their secondary structure includes four short double-helical elements and three loops (D, anti-codon, and T loops). Further hydrogen bonds mediate the characteristic L-shaped molecular structure. tRNAs have two regions of fundamental functional importance: the anti-codon, which is responsible for specific mRNA codon recognition, and the 3' end, to which the tRNAs corresponding amino acid is attached (by aminoacyl-tRNA synthetases). tRNAs cope with the degeneracy of the genetic code in two manners: having more than one tRNA (with a specific anti-codon) for a particular amino acid; and 'wobble' base-pairing, i.e. permitting non-standard base-pairing at the 3rd anti-codon position. The record is from Rfam by way of RNAcentral. Lineage: Eukaryota; Metazoa; Chordata; Mammalia; Proboscidea; Elephantidae.